UGAUACCCUAUUAUUUUAAAUGUAAAUCUUUCUGUUUAGUAUUAUUAGUUUAGUCUUUAAAUUAAAAGAAUUUGACGGUAAUUUGAUCAUUUCAGAGGAACCUGUCCUGUAAUUGAUAAUCCACGAUAAAUUUUACCUUAAUUUAUUGUUUGUAUAUCUCUGUUUAUGAGUAUUUUAUUAGAAUUUAUUUAUAUUCUCUUUAUAUUAAUAUUUUAAUAUAUAUCAGGUCAAGGUGCAGCUAUAUUAAGGGUUGAGAUGGGUUACAUUUAAUUUAAUAUUUAUGGAUUAUUUAGUUUUAUUAUUAAAAUGAAAUUGGAUUUGAAUGUAAUAAUUAUUAU
This 338-nucleotide ribosomal RNA is filed under the name Megymenum parallelum. RNAcentral describes it as "partial 12S ribosomal RNA". Lineage: Eukaryota; Metazoa; Arthropoda; Insecta; Hemiptera; Dinidoridae. The record is from RNAcentral.